AGUGAACGCUGGCGGUAGGCCUAACACAUGCAAGUCGAACGGCAGCACAGUAAGAGCUUGCUCUUACGGGUGGCGAGUGGCGGACGGGUGAGGAAUACAUCGGAAUCUACUUUUUCGUGGGGGAUAACGUAGGGAAACUUACACUAAUACCGCAUACUACCUACGGGUUAAAGCAGGGGAUCUUCGGACCUUGCGCGAUUGAAUUAGCCGAUGUCGGAUUAGCUAGUUGGCGGGGUAAAGGCCCACCAAGGCGACGAUCCGUAGCUGGUCUGAGAGGAUGAUCAGCCACAAUGGCACUGAGACACGGUCCAGACUCCUACGGGAGGCAGCAGUGGGGAAUAUUGGACAAUGGGCGCAAGCCUGAUCAAGCCAUACCGCGUGGGUGAAGAAGGACUUCGGGUUGUAAAGCCCUUUUGUUGGGAAAGAAAAGCAGCAGGUUAAUACCCCGCUGUUAUGACGGUACCCAAAGAAUAAGCACCGGCUAACUUCGUG
This 492-nucleotide ribosomal RNA is filed under the name uncultured bacterium. RNAcentral describes it as "partial 16S ribosomal RNA". It matches the Rfam family "Bacterial small subunit ribosomal RNA", at positions 29 to 507 of the family's 1533-position model. The record is from RNAcentral.